GAAGCACUGGCGCUAGUUGGUGUGGAGCCAUCCUUGAAAUACCACCCUUGUAUGUUUGAUGUUCUAACUUAGCCCCCUUAUCGGGGGUGAGGACAGUGCCUGGUGGGUAGUUUGACUGGGGCGGUCUCCUCCCAAAGAGUAACGGAGGAGCACGAAGGUUGGCUAAGUACGGUCGGACAUCGUACGGUUAGUGUAAUGGCACAAGCCAGCUUAACUGCGAGACAGACACGUCGAGCAGGUACGAAAGUAGGUCAUAGUGAUCCGGUGGUUCUGAAUGGAAGGGCCAUCGCUCAACGGAUAAAAGGUACUCCGGGGAUAACAGGCUGAUACCGCCCAAGAGUUCAUAUCGACGGCGGUGUUUGGCACCUCGAUGUCGGCUCAUCACAUCCUGGGGCUGUAGUCGGUCCCAAGGGUAUGGCUGUUCGCCAUUUAAAGUGGUACGCGAGCUGGGUUUAGAACGUCGUGAGACAGUUCGGUCCCUAUCUGCCGUGGGCGUUUGAGAGUUGAGAGGGGUUGCUCCUAGUACGAGAGGACCGGAGUGAACGAACCUCUGGUGUUCGGGUUGUCAUGCCAAUGGCACUGCCCGGUAGCUAUGUUCGGAAUCGAUAACCGCUGAAAGCAUCUAAGCGGGAAGCGAGCCUCAAGAUAAGCUCUCACUAGCACGUAAGUGCUCUGAAGGGUUGUUGAAGACGACGACGUUGAUAGGCGGGAUGUGGAAGCGUAGUAAUGCGUUGAGCUAACCCGUACUAAUUGCCCGUGAGGCUUAACCAU
Molecule: ribosomal RNA, 771 nt
Filed under: Pseudidiomarina terrestris
Lineage: Bacteria; Pseudomonadati; Pseudomonadota; Gammaproteobacteria; Alteromonadales; Idiomarinaceae
Description: partial 23S ribosomal RNA
Rfam family: Bacterial large subunit ribosomal RNA
Source: RNAcentral